This is a long non-coding RNA of Capsicum annuum, 627 nucleotides long. RefSeq lists it as uncharacterized. NCBI's taxonomy places the organism in Eukaryota, Viridiplantae, Streptophyta, Magnoliopsida, Solanales, Solanaceae. The transcript is spliced from 3 exons. The record is from RefSeq and is a predicted model, not a curated record.
CAUUUCAAAAAAAGAAGCCGCAGCUAUCUCUCUCUUUAUACCCCCCUCUCUCUCUAUACCUCUCUAUAACCAUCAAUGGCUGUUGCCGCUGCUGAGAAACCCGAUGCUGCCCCUUCCCCUCUUCCCGGCUUCCCUCUUCUCUUCCAUAGCCGGAGAAAACCCGAUACCGCUGAGCCACCCGCGAUUUCAGCCGGCAGAGCACCAGUGCCGCCUCCCAACAUCAACCAUGCCAACACCGCCGAUGCCAGUUGAGUACGUGAAGAAGACAUUGGACUAUUGGAUGGAGAUGUUCUAAUUUUUCCUGAAAUGAUCAAAUAUAGGAGUUUGAAGGAGUCAGAUGUUGAUGCUUUUGUAGAGGAUGUGCUUGUUGUGAAUGGCAAGCCCUGGACUUUUGGACCUCUGGAGCCAAUAAGUGGUGCUUAUGUAUUUGUAAAUAAUUACACAAUAGGUAGACUUUGAUGUAAAUAUUUCAAGCUGACAAAAUUUUUCCUUUGUAUAACGAAAAGGUUCAUACAGAAAAUUGCGUAGUGGACAUACGUUGAAGUGUGUUCUCAGUAAGUUGAAGCGCGUAUCUUUAGCUUCUCUCAAAUUCAGGGCUUAAGGGCGACUCAAAUGAGCCUUUGACAA